This 590-nucleotide ribosomal RNA is filed under the name uncultured bacterium. RNAcentral describes it as "partial 16S ribosomal RNA". It matches the Rfam family "Bacterial small subunit ribosomal RNA", at positions 355 to 1375 of the family's 1533-position model. The record is from RNAcentral.
UGGGGAAUUUUGGACAAUGGGCGAAAGCCUGAUCCAGCAAUGCCGCGUGUGUGAAGAAGGCCUUCGGGUUGUAAAGCACUUUUGUCCGGAAAGAAAUCCUUGGCUCUAAUACAGUCGGGGGAUGACGGUACCGGAAGAAUAAGCACCGGCUAACUACGUGCCAGCAGCCGCGGUAAUACGUAGGGUGCAAGCGUUAAUCGGAAUUACUGGGCGUAAAGCGUGCGCAGGCGGUUUGCUAAGACCGAUGUGAAAUCCCCGGGCUCAACCUGGGAACUGCAUUGGUGACUGGCAGGCUAGAGUAUGGCAGAGGGGGGUAGAAUUCCACGUGUAGCAGUGAAAUGCGUAGAGAUGUGGAGGAAUACCGAUGGCGAAGGCAGCCCCCUGGGCCAAUACUGACGCUCAUGCACGAAAGCGUGGGGGAGCAAAACAGGAUUAGAUACCCCUGGUAGUCCACGCCCUAAAACGAUGUCAACUAGUUGUUGGGGAUUCAUUUUCCUUAGUAACGUAGCUAACGCGUGAAGUUGACCGCCUGGGGAGUACGGUCGCAAGAUUAAAACUCAAAGGAAUUGACGGGGUCAUAGCUGUUUCCU